AUUGAACGCUGGCGGCAGGCCUAACACAUGCAAGUCGAGCGGAUGAAGGGAGCUUGCUCCUGGAUUCAGCGGCGGACGGGUGAGUAAUGCCUAGGAAUCUGCCUGGUAGUGGGGGAUAACGUCCGGAAACGGGCGCUAAUACCGCAUACGUCCUGAGGGAGAAAGUGGGGGAUCUUCGGACCUCACGCUAUCAGAUGAGCCUAGGUCGGAUUAGCUAGUUGGUGGGGUAAAGGCCUACCAAGGCGACGAUCCGUAACUGGUCUGAGAGGAUGAUCAGUCACACUGGAACUGAGACACGGCCCAGACUCCUACGGGAGGCAGCAGUGGGGAAUAUUGGACAAUGGGCGAAAGCCUGAUCCAGCCAUGCCGCGUGUGUGAAGAAGGUCUUCGGAUUGUAAAGCACUUUAAGUUGGGAGGAAGGGCAGUAAGUUAAUACCUUGCUGUUUUGACGGUACCAACAGAAUAAGCACCGGCUAACUUCGUG
Molecule: ribosomal RNA, 484 nt
Filed under: uncultured bacterium
Lineage: Bacteria
Description: partial 16S ribosomal RNA
Rfam family: Bacterial small subunit ribosomal RNA
Source: RNAcentral